RNAcentral lists this transfer RNA (73 nucleotides) under Treponema sp. Its description in RNAcentral is "tRNA-Gln". It matches the Rfam family "tRNA". Rfam says of the family: Transfer RNA (tRNA) molecules are approximately 80 nucleotides in length. Their secondary structure includes four short double-helical elements and three loops (D, anti-codon, and T loops). Further hydrogen bonds mediate the characteristic L-shaped molecular structure. tRNAs have two regions of fundamental functional importance: the anti-codon, which is responsible for specific mRNA codon recognition, and the 3' end, to which the tRNAs corresponding amino acid is attached (by aminoacyl-tRNA synthetases). tRNAs cope with the degeneracy of the genetic code in two manners: having more than one tRNA (with a specific anti-codon) for a particular amino acid; and 'wobble' base-pairing, i.e. permitting non-standard base-pairing at the 3rd anti-codon position. RNAcentral also lists the same sequence under 1 other name. Lineage: Bacteria; Pseudomonadati; Spirochaetota; Spirochaetia; Treponematales; Treponemataceae. The record is from RNAcentral.
UGUCGAGUCGUCAAGCGGUAAGACAACGGCUUUUGGUGCCGUCAUUCCACAGGUUCGAAUCCUGUCUCGACAA